RNAcentral lists this long non-coding RNA (284 nucleotides) under Lathyrus oleraceus (garden pea). RNAcentral's name for it is "Pisum sativum (pea) long non-coding RNA (PSAT_LNC022818)". The record is from RNAcentral. Lineage: Eukaryota; Viridiplantae; Streptophyta; Magnoliopsida; Fabales; Fabaceae.
UAACAACACGUCUGGUCCUAUUGAGAACCUUGUUCUCAAAGUUAGAUUUUGACUAAACACAGUGACACAAUUUAAGUGAAGGCUUUAUCAGAACAAUUUUUUGGUAAUGUCAAUGGAUUAUGUUAGUUGAUGUAGUGUUGAUUAACGAAUGAUCGGAAUUCCCACAAAAAUGAUUUAAAAAUACUUUUGUUAAUUAUUAAAAGAAUUAUUUUUGAAGAAACAAGAAAAAGAGAUGAAUAGUGGAAUAAUAAAAAAGAUAAAUAAGCAACAGAAAAUGUAAAUAA